RNAcentral lists this ribosomal RNA (253 nucleotides) under uncultured bacterium. Its description in RNAcentral is "partial 16S ribosomal RNA". It matches the Rfam family "Bacterial small subunit ribosomal RNA", at positions 524 to 776 of the family's 1533-position model. The record is from RNAcentral.
UACGUAGGGGGCAAGCGUUGUCCGGAUUCAUUGGGCGUAAAGAGCGUGUAGGCGGCCAGGUAGGUCGGUUGUGAAAACUGGAGGCUCAACCUUCCGAGGUCGACCGAAACCAUCUGGCUAGAGUCCGGGAGAGGAGAGUGGAAUUCCUGGUGUAGCGGUGAAAUGCGCAGAUAUCAGGAAGAACACCCGUGGCGAAAGCGGCUCUCUGGAACGGUACUGACGCUGAGACGCGAAAGCGUGGGGAGCGAACAGG